RNAcentral lists this long non-coding RNA (472 nucleotides) under Mytilus galloprovincialis (Mediterranean mussel). Lineage: Eukaryota; Metazoa; Mollusca; Bivalvia; Mytilida; Mytilidae. The record is from RNAcentral.
AAAAGCCUUUAAUAUAAAUUCACUUUCUUUACAGUUGUAUUGAUUUAAGUUACUGUAACUGUCUUAUUUAUAAGUAAGGAUGCAGUAUUUUUUGCAAAGAACCAAUGCUAUCCAAAAGAGUUCAAAGAAUGAAAAUGUAUUAAUAACUAUAGGCCACAAUGAAGGUCGUCAAUAAUGAGAAAUGUUUGUACCAUAUACAUGUAGAAAGCUUUAACAGGCCCCGACAGAAACAUGUGGAACAAUUUAAACAAAAAAAAACUUACGUGUUAACUUAAUUUACUUAAAACAAAUAUGAAGGCCCUUGAAGUUGACAUCGCAUGGGUACUUAAAGAAAUUAACAGAGCUUUCUGCAUGUAUAUUUCAUUAUUUUAGAUCUACAGUCAUGACAGUUUAAGGUUGCAAUCAUGAGAAAAAUAUCAAAACUUUUUAUGAUAAACAUAAAAAAGUGAUUUUUUAUGAUUACUGAGGAGAC